This 708-nucleotide unclassified non-coding RNA is filed under the name Bombus terrestris (buff-tailed bumblebee). RNAcentral describes it as "misc RNA ENSBTSG00005029737.1". The record is from RNAcentral. Lineage: Eukaryota; Metazoa; Arthropoda; Insecta; Hymenoptera; Apidae.
GCGAAGACAAGAAAAGGAAUAGUAGCGAUAGUACGGAAGGUAGAGAAGGGACAAAUCCCUCGGUGCUUCCAUCAGCCUCUGAAACGCUCGUCAGCUCAGUUCCUAUCAGCUUACCAACUUUCUCCAUUUUCCACUGACUCUCAGAUGGAGCUUGUCCCUAAUUAUCAGCGAGGAUCGUGGUUUCACAUUGCGAAGGCCAAGUUCUGUAAUUUGAGAUAGUUACUUGGCUGGCACAGCAGCUAGUGAUUAGAUGUGGGAUCUAGCGUCUCGAGGACCGGAUGUAUCGAAACCUCUCCAAUGGUGAAACCGGGAAACCAAGCUAUCGUCGACAAAUGGACACUACGUGUUGCUUGGAAACGGAAGUAGUAUACAGGAAGAACGUGGACACGAUGCAACGGUGGAAGGAAAAAGCGAUGCAGUAAGCGCUCAGACCGGGGACGACGACUCCCCGUUUUUAUGAGACGACUAAACAGCUGUAAGCCCCGCGUUUCGCUUUUUUUCUUUUUACAACCACUUUCCGCUUGACACUUUUGUGAUGCGUACAUAGCAUUCGCAAAGGAUUUAAUUCUUAACAUUUUAAGAACGAUUUUUCCGGUUUUACUGACACUUCUUUAAGAUUUUCGCACCCAGUGGUAUUAUCAGAUCUAUUAGUACGCUCCUCUAAGCUGGAUUUUUCUUUAAUAAAAUGUAUAAAUUAUUCGUUUGUCC